AAAAAGUGGUUAAGUGUGAGAAAAGGUUGUUGAGUGUAUUGAGAGUGGUGAAAAAAUGUUAUAAUUAGUAUUGAGAGUGGUAAAAAGUGAAAAGUAAGUGGUGGGGUAUAGUCCAAAAAUAGGUAGGAAGUUCUUUUGUGGACGUCCCAAAAAAAAGUAUGAAGUUCUUUCGUGGACGGAGAGAGUAUAAAAUAAAAAUAAAAAUAAAAAUAAAAAUAAAAAAUAAUCGGAUUUGCAUGUAUACCCGCAAUCCCGAUACGGGUACCUGAUACUCGAAAUUUUAUCAAAUUCAAUACCCUCACCG
This 304-nucleotide long non-coding RNA is filed under the name Salvia miltiorrhiza (redroot sage). Its description in RNAcentral is "long non-coding RNA (SMIL_LNC000957)". The record is from RNAcentral. Lineage: Eukaryota; Viridiplantae; Streptophyta; Magnoliopsida; Lamiales; Lamiaceae.